GAUGGACCCGCGGCGCAUUAGCUAGUUGGUGAGGUAACGGCUCACCAAGGCGACGAUGCGUAGCCGACCUGAGAGGGUGAUCGGCCACACUGGGACUGAGACACGGCCCAGACUCCUACGGGAGGCAGCAGUAGGGAAUCUUCCGCAAUGGACGAAAGUCUGACGGAGCAACGCCGCGUGAGGGAUGAAGGUUUUCGGAUCGUAAAGCUCUGUUGUUAGGGAAGAACAAGUGCCGUUCAAAUAGGGCGGCACCUUGACGGUACCUAACCAGAAAGCCACGGCUAACUACGUGCCAGCAGCCGCGGUAAU
This 309-nucleotide ribosomal RNA is filed under the name Bacillus velezensis. RNAcentral describes it as "bacterial SSU rRNA". It matches the Rfam family "Bacterial small subunit ribosomal RNA", at positions 224 to 524 of the family's 1533-position model. Lineage: Bacteria; Bacillati; Bacillota; Bacilli; Caryophanales; Bacillaceae. The record is from RNAcentral.